GCCCGGAUGGUCUAGUGGUAUGUUCUACAUUCAUCCGAAAUCUUCCCGUUCUGUUCUAACAGUUCAUAAUCAGGUAUGAUUCCUGCUUCGGGAAGAAAAUGCAGGAGGUCCCGCGUUCGAAUCGCGGUUCGGGCC
Molecule: transfer RNA, 135 nt
Filed under: Aspergillus sclerotiicarbonarius CBS 121057
Lineage: Eukaryota; Fungi; Ascomycota; Eurotiomycetes; Eurotiales; Aspergillaceae
Description: tRNA-Met
Source: RNAcentral